AGAAUUUUGACGGUAUUAAUUUUCCAGAGAAAUAUGUAAUUGAAUCGAUAAUUCACGUUAAUUUUACUUAUUUUAUUUUUGUAUAUCUCCGUUAUUAGAUUUUAUUAAAUAUUUUUAAAAAUUUCUUAAUAAAUAUUUUUAUUAAAUCAGGUCAAGGUGCAAAAUAAAUAAGUUAUUAUGUAUUUCAAUCAAAAAUAUUGUAGUGGAUAAAUAUUGAAAUAAUUUUUGAAAUUGAAUCUGUAAGUAAUAUAAUAUAAAAAUUUAUUUGAAAUAAAAUUUAAU
This 282-nucleotide ribosomal RNA is filed under the name Austroperipatus sp. RNAcentral's name for it is "partial 12S small subunit ribosomal RNA". The record is from RNAcentral. Lineage: Eukaryota; Metazoa; Onychophora; Udeonychophora; Euonychophora; Peripatopsidae.